AGUUGUUGCACGCCGGAGCAUGUCCUCUCACAUUAAAUCCAUCUCACACCUUUUGUGCACCACCGCGUGGGCACCCUUUGNGAUCGAACCGAUCUUGGAGGGGGCCUGCGUUUUCACACAAACCCCCCCUUUUAAAAAGUGUAGAAUGACCCCACUUUGCGGUGACACGCAAUCAAUACAACUUUCAACAACGGAUCUCUUGGCUCUCGCAUCGAUGAAGAACGCUACGCGAAAUGCGAUACGUAAUGUGAAUUGCAGAAUUCAGUGAAUCAUCGAAUCUUUGAACGCACCUUGCGCCCCUUGGUAUUCCGAGGGGCACACCCGUUUGAGUGUCGUGAAAACCCUCAACCUUCUCGGUUUUGCCGAAGGAGGCUUGGACUUUGGAGGCCUUUGCUGGCGUCCUUCUUUUGAAGGCCCAGCUCCUCUUAAAUGAAUUAGCGNGGUCCUCUUUGCCGAUCCUCGACGUGUGAUAAGAUGNUUCCAUGUCUUGCUUUCCGGCUCUGUUGCUUUUGGGACCCGCUUCCAACUGUCUCGUCUCGAGACGACGUUCGAGGGUGUCUCCCUUCUCGGGAAAUGCUCUUGACCUCACAAACCCUUGACCUCAAAUCGGGNGAGACUACCCGCUGAACUUAAGCAUAUCAUA
This 643-nucleotide ribosomal RNA is filed under the name uncultured Lactarius. RNAcentral describes it as "eukaryotic LSU rRNA". The stretch from base 180 to 335 matches the Rfam family "5.8S ribosomal RNA". The record is from RNAcentral. Lineage: Eukaryota; Fungi; Basidiomycota; Agaricomycetes; Russulales; Russulaceae.